UUUUUGAAAAUAAUUUAAAGUCUAAUCUGCCCACUGAUUUUAAAUUAAAGGGCUGCAGUAUUUUGACUGUACAAAGGUAGCAUAAUCAAUAGUCUCUUAAUUGGUGACUUGUAUGAAAGAUUUGAUGAAAUAUAAACUGUCUCUAUUAAAUUUAUAAAAUUUAAUUUUUUAGUUAAAAAGCUAAAAUAUAUUUAAAAGACGAGAAGACCCUAUAGAGUUUUAUAAUUCAUUUAUUUUUAUUUUUGUUUAAAUAUUAAAAAUAAAAAUAAAUGAAUUAUUUUAUUGGGGUGAUAGAAAAAUUAAAUAAACUUUUUUUAAAAUUUUUACAUUAAUAUAUGAUUAUAUGAUCCGUAAAUUACGAUUAAAAGAUUAAAUUACCUUAGGGAUAACAGCGUAAUUUUUUUUUUUAGUUCAAAUAAGAAAAAGAGUUUGCGACCUCGAUGUUGGAUUAAGAUAAAAUUUAAAAUGCAAAAGUUUAAAAUUUUUGAUCUGUUCGAUCAUUAAAAUCUUACA
RNAcentral lists this ribosomal RNA (513 nucleotides) under Allancastria caucasica. RNAcentral describes it as "partial 16S ribosomal RNA". The stretch from base 385 to 513 matches the Rfam family "Bacterial large subunit ribosomal RNA", at positions 2473 to 2600 of the family's 2925-position model. Lineage: Eukaryota; Metazoa; Arthropoda; Insecta; Lepidoptera; Papilionidae. The record is from RNAcentral.